This 76-nucleotide transfer RNA is filed under the name Coxiella sp. (in: g-proteobacteria). RNAcentral describes it as "Coxiella sp. (in: Bacteria) tRNA-Lys". It matches the Rfam family "tRNA". Rfam says of the family: Transfer RNA (tRNA) molecules are approximately 80 nucleotides in length. Their secondary structure includes four short double-helical elements and three loops (D, anti-codon, and T loops). Further hydrogen bonds mediate the characteristic L-shaped molecular structure. tRNAs have two regions of fundamental functional importance: the anti-codon, which is responsible for specific mRNA codon recognition, and the 3' end, to which the tRNAs corresponding amino acid is attached (by aminoacyl-tRNA synthetases). tRNAs cope with the degeneracy of the genetic code in two manners: having more than one tRNA (with a specific anti-codon) for a particular amino acid; and 'wobble' base-pairing, i.e. permitting non-standard base-pairing at the 3rd anti-codon position. Lineage: Bacteria; Pseudomonadati; Pseudomonadota; Gammaproteobacteria; Legionellales; Coxiellaceae. The record is from RNAcentral.
GGGUUGUUAGCUCAGUUGGUAGAGCAGCGGACUCUUAAUCCGCGGGUCAUUGGUUCGAUCCCAAUACAACCCACCA